UAAAAUAUGUCUUAUUCCCUCAUGGUGUAGA
This 31-nucleotide non-coding RNA is filed under the name Rattus norvegicus (Norway rat). Lineage: Eukaryota; Metazoa; Chordata; Mammalia; Rodentia; Muridae. The record is from RNAcentral.